This 253-nucleotide ribosomal RNA is filed under the name uncultured bacterium. Its description in RNAcentral is "partial 16S ribosomal RNA". It matches the Rfam family "Bacterial small subunit ribosomal RNA", at positions 524 to 776 of the family's 1533-position model. The record is from RNAcentral.
UACAGAGGUCCCGAGCGUUGUUCGGAUUCACUGGGCGUAAAGGGUUCGUAGGUGGCUUGAAAAGUUUGAUGUGAAAGCUCAGGGCUUAACCCUGAAAUGGCAUUGAAUACUGUCGAGCUGGAGGUUUGGAGGGGGGACUGGAAUUCUUGGUGUAGCAGUGAAAUGCGUAGAUAUCAAGAGGAACACCAGUGGCGAAGGCGAGUCCCUGGACAACACCUGACACUGAGGCACGAAAGCUAGGGGAGCAAACAGG